AUUGAACGCUGGCGGCAUGCCUUACACAUGCAAGUCGAACGGCAGCACGGGAGCAAUCCUGGCGGCGAGUGGCGAACGGGUGAGUAAUACAUCGGAACGUGCCCGAUCGUGGGGGAUAACUACUCGAAAGAGUAGCUAAUACCGCAUACGAUCUACGGAUGAAAGCGGGGGAUCGCAAGACCUCGCGCGGACGGAGCGGCCGAUGGCAGAUUAGGUAGUUGGUGGGAUAAAAGCUUACCAAGCCGACGAUCUGUAGCUGGUCUGAGAGGACGACCAGCCACACUGGGACUGAGACACGGCCCAG
Molecule: ribosomal RNA, 304 nt
Filed under: uncultured bacterium
Lineage: Bacteria
Description: bacterial SSU rRNA
Rfam family: Bacterial small subunit ribosomal RNA
Source: RNAcentral